This 1104-nucleotide long non-coding RNA is filed under the name Anolis carolinensis (green anole). Its description in RNAcentral is "lncRNA (ENSACAG00000045519.1)". Lineage: Eukaryota; Metazoa; Chordata; Lepidosauria; Squamata; Anolidae. The record is from RNAcentral.
AUGGGGAGCCCUCUCAGCCCAGUAGUAGCAAAUUUCUAUAUGGAAUACUUUGAAAAACAGGCCCUAGAAACAGCACCAAAAAAGCCAACUGUUUGGUUCAGAUACGUAGAUGACACCUUCACAAUUUGGAGCCAUGGAGAGGAAGAACUCAGCAAGUUCCUGGACCAUCUUAACAGCAUCCACCCAAACAUCCAAUUCACCAUGGAAAAAGAAAAGGAAGGAAAACUGCCAUUUCUAGAUGUUCUGGUCAUCCGCAAACCCAAUCAACAAUUGGGCCACACAGUUUACAGAAAACCUACACAUACAGAUAGAUACCUUCAUAAAAACUCCAACCAUCACCCAAGUCAAAAAAGGAGCACAAUCAAAGCCCUGACAGACCGUGCACAAAGAAUCUGCGAACCUCACCUCCUCCAAGGUGAACUCAACCACCUAAACUGGGCUCUACAGGCCAAUGGAUACUCCACCACAGACAUCAGAAGAGCUGCAAGGCCAAGAACAAGCCAUGAGAGUCAAGACAAAGAUCCACCCAGAGGAAAGGUGUUCUUACCAUACAUCAAGGGAACUACUGACCGCAUAGGGAAGCUGAUGAAGAAGCACAACCUACAAACUAUCUACAGACCCACGAAGAAAAUCCAACAAAUGCUACGGUCAGCGAAGGACAAGAGGGAUCCUCUCUCUUCUGCAGGAGUCUACCGGAUACCAUGCAGCUGUGGACAAGUCUACAUAGGGACCACCAAACGCAGCGCCCAAACAAGAGUCAAAGAACAUGAAAGGCACUGCAGACUAAUUCAACCAGAGAAAUCAGCCAUAGCAGAGCAUUUGAUGAACCAGCCUGGACACAGAAUACUAUUUGAGAACACAAAAAUGCUGGACCAUUCUAACAACUAUCAUGUCAGACUACACAGAGAAGCCAUUGAAAUCCACAAGCAUGUGGACAACUUCAACAGAAAGGAAGAAACCAUGAAAAUGAACAAAAUCUGGCUACCAGUAUUACAAAACUCCAAAAUCAAAACAGUAGAUGGGAACCAACACAAUGAGGACUUGACUGAACAAAGGAUGCCCCCAGGCAAGGGACAAAAACAUUUCCAGUGCCAAUUAGGGUGA